CUUGAUUAGCAAUUUAAGACUAAUCUGCAUAUAAACAUUGACCGCUGUGGAUAAUAAACUAUCAAUUUAUAGUACAAAGUAAUUGGCUAAAAAAAGGCCUGUUCCAAAGUAUAUCUGAUUAAAAGUGAAUGAAAAUGCCAAUUUACAUACUUGUUGCAUUUUUUAAACAACUGUAAUGCCACUUCAGUCUUUACAGUAAUUUUCUUUUUAAAAUGUACUUUUAAUCAGUGAGGCUUGAUAUUGGCAUAUCAGGAGCCGGUGGUUCACUUGAUGUCGUUGGUUCAUAUUUGUUAUAUUUGUUUUUCGUAAAUUGUUUUAAUUUCAAAUGAUCUCAAAUCAAGCCGGUAGUUUUCUCAAUUGAAUUGUAUUAUAUUUUUCAAGUUGGAUCCUUUUAAAGUCGACUAUAUGGUAUGGAUUUGUAUCAUUGAUGAAGACCGUACACAGUUGCCUAUCAUAGUUGCUUACAUCCACUUAAUUUCUUAUUGGUAAUCAUACCACAUCUCGUUAAUAUUUUUUUAGUAAAUGCGUGGAAUAUUCUCAGAUAAUUUAA
RNAcentral lists this long non-coding RNA (550 nucleotides) under Mytilus galloprovincialis (Mediterranean mussel). The record is from RNAcentral. Lineage: Eukaryota; Metazoa; Mollusca; Bivalvia; Mytilida; Mytilidae.